GACGAACGCUGGCGGCGUGCUUAACACAUGCAAGUCGAGCGGAAAGGCCCUUCUUGGUACUCGAGCGGCGAACGGGUGAGUAACACGUGAGUAACCUGCCCCAGACUUUGUGAUAACCCUCGGAGACGGGGUCUAAUACCGACUACGACACAGCAUCGCGUAGGGUCUGUGUGGGAAGGUUUUCGGUUGGUGAUGGGCUCGCGGCCUAUCAGCUUGUUUGUGGGGUGAUGGCUUACCAAGGCGACGACGGGUAGCCGGCCUGAGAGGGGGACCGGCCACACUGGGACUGAGACACGGCACAGACUCCUACGGGAGGCAGCAGUGGGGAAUAUUGCACAAUGGGCGGAAGUCUGAUGCAGCGACGCCGCGUGAGGGAUGACGGCUUUCGUGUUGUAAACCUCUUUCAGCAGGGACGACGCGUAAGUGACGGUACCUGCAGAAGAAGCGCCGGCCAACUACGUG
RNAcentral lists this ribosomal RNA (462 nucleotides) under uncultured bacterium. RNAcentral's name for it is "partial 16S ribosomal RNA". It matches the Rfam family "Bacterial small subunit ribosomal RNA", at positions 28 to 507 of the family's 1533-position model. The record is from RNAcentral.